RNAcentral lists this unclassified non-coding RNA (388 nucleotides) under fungal sp. RNAcentral describes it as "partial internal transcribed spacer region". The stretch from base 1 to 46 matches the Rfam family "Eukaryotic small subunit ribosomal RNA", at positions 1786 to 1831 of the family's 1831-position model. The record is from RNAcentral. Lineage: Eukaryota; Fungi.
AAGUCGUAACAAGGUUUCCGUAGGUGAACCUGCGGAAGGAUCAUUAACACGUAUCCAACGUUAAACCCCCCUGUGAACCUUCAGAGAGCUCUUGCAUACCGUACGGAACAGCAAUCCUGGUAAAUCAGUGGCGAAAGUACAGCGACACUUUAAUCCGCCCGGCCAGGUCUCCAGACCCACUGCGUAUGCGCUCAAUUGAAGUCCUGGACAGAUACGGUUUCGAGGUUAACAUUACGAUCGCUAGAGGCUCACCACGGGCCGGCGGACAGACCUGCAGGGCCUCGAGCCCCCCUACCUGACGACCAAGUUAAACCGGGCCUCGUCACAUAGCAAGUGCGCCGUGAUGGAGGAAAACGUACAACUGUUAACAAUGGAUAUCUUGGUUCUC